Long non-coding RNA from Oncorhynchus tshawytscha (Chinook salmon), 1890 nucleotides. The record is from Ensembl. Lineage: Eukaryota; Metazoa; Chordata; Actinopteri; Salmoniformes; Salmonidae.
CAUUUUGAAUGCUUAGCAGGACAUGAAAAUUGUCUAAUUCACACACUUAUCAAGAGAACAUCCCUGGUCAUCCCUACUGCCUCUGAUCUGGCGGACUCACUAAACACUUGCCUCAUUUGUAAAUUAUGAGUGUUGGAGUAUGCCCCUGGCUAUCUGUAAAUGUAAAAAACAAGAAAAUUGUGCCGUAUGGUUUGAUUUAAUUACAAGGAAUUUGAAAUAAUAUAUACUUUUACUUUUGAUAAGUAGAUUUAAAACCAAAUACUUUUGGACUUUUACUCAAGUAGGAACGUACUGGGCGACUUUCACCUCUACUUGAGUCAUUUUCUAUUAAGGUAUCUUUACUUUUACUCAAGUAUGACAAUGGGUACUUUCCCCACCACGGAUGUUAUCUCCCUUGCUGUCUUUUGUCCAGAAACAGGCUAUGAAUGGGUGGGCUGCCUGUAAAUGGACUGACCAGGAGAUGACAUGUGUUGGUAAAGUAGGGUGAUAUCUUUAAAACACUGAUUAUGGUUAACGUAGUAAGUUUACUUUCGGUUUUGGAUGCAAUUGUGUGUGACGGAUGUAACCGAACUAUGAGCAAUGCUCUUUUUGCUCCGUUAGCCCACUACUAUAUUACUACCUCCAAUGAUUUCCAGUUAACUACUUCAGUGGCAUUCCAGAUUAACUCGUCAUUAGCAGCGGAUAAGAUCCCCAAAUGUAGGAAUUACCCCAGAAUAUCUGUAAAUUGCUUUGGUCCUGGAGCUAGCAAGUAAAGGCUCUCCUGAGCCGUCCCGACUACGGUCUGGAGGCGCAGCGGGAAAGGUAACGCAGGUCUCCCUGUGAAGGGCCAGGUCAAUAUUGUGUACUGCAGGCUGAGGAAGCUGAAGGCCCACGUCUUGGAGAGCGCUAGGGAAGGGGCUGUGUUCUGGCCUAACCACUGGAGAGUCCAGCUGUGCCCCUGCGUCAGUUGCAAGAGGGGGCCUGCUGGAUGAGUCAGACACUGUCCUAGCCUGUGAGAACUGAGGCACUACAGAGCAAGGAACUGCUAGUCUCAGGCCUGGCAUAAGCAGACGGUUGUACUCUGGACAGCAUUCAGCAACUGGAGAUUGUUUAACUUAAGGAUGGGGACAAUCUUUUUCAUUUAUUUGUUUGGCAGCUAUUAACUGUAGAUGUAACCUAACACAGGGUUUAUACCAUUUGAUGAAAGUAAAAUGUUGUUUCUUCUAUCUCUGAGUUAAUUGAGAAGGAGACUGAACUGAUGGCUUUCCUACAGCAGAUUGCUGAUGAAGGAAAGGUCAUCACAGCAGAAGCCAUCCACCAAUUAUUUGGGGAGCUGAUGAAGAAGAGGCAACAGAUGAACAGCUGAUGUCAUUCUGCCCCACGGUGUCCUGUUGUUUACUUGUGCAAUUUUGUAAUGUUACUUUGGGUUCAUAGCAAAAGUUCUGUCCACCAAACACCUUCUGCUUUAAAUAACAGUGCUGCUAUAAAAUAUGCUGUUACUGAGGUUUAUGAAGUUGAAAGUUUUGCCAAAAAAGUUGUUCUCGAAUUGCUCUCCAUGGAUUUCAAAUGGCGUUCCAUGUCUCAUGAGAAGCUGAAGUAGCAUGCUGUUAGCAGGCUUGGAGAGAUGCUGAUGGAAUCUAGUCAUUUUAGUCAUGGACUUACUGUUAUUUGGUCAAUUAUGUCUUAGUUGUCAUUAGAAUUUCAUAAUAAUGUGACACCUGAUGAGGAUGCACUGCCUUUCAUAUUGAAACAGAUCCAGUAUGUGACCAUUUUAUGUUGUCACUAGCAUUCCUGUUAAUUAAACAUUUGAAUAGUUCAUCCAGCAUACUCCGUGACGUGAUUAUGUGGCUACUUGUCCUCCAAAUACCAGAAGGUACUUCUUAAAAAAAAAUAUUAAAAAACUUUUUACCC